GAUGAAGAACGCAGCGAAAUGCGAUAAGUAGUGUGAAUUGCAGAAUUCAGUGAAUCAUCGAAUAUUUGAACGCACAUUGCGCCCCUUGGUAUUCCAUGGGGCAUGCCUGUUCGAGCGUCAUUUGUACCUUCAAGCUUUGCUUGGUGUUGGGUGUUUGUCUCGCCUUUGCGUGUAGACUCGCCUUAAAAUAAUUGGCAGCCGGCGUAUUGAUUUCGGAGCGCAGUACAUCUCGCGCUUUGCACUCAUAACGACAGCGUCCAAAAGUACAUUUUACACUCUUGACCUCGGAUCAGGUAGGGAUACCCGCUGAACUUAAGCAUAUCAAUAAGCGGAGGA
This 336-nucleotide unclassified non-coding RNA is filed under the name soil metagenome. RNAcentral describes it as "partial contains 5.8S ribosomal RNA, internal transcribed spacer 2, and large subunit ribosomal RNA". The stretch from base 1 to 120 matches the Rfam family "5.8S ribosomal RNA", at positions 35 to 154 of the family's 154-position model. The record is from RNAcentral.